Molecule: unclassified non-coding RNA, 1676 nt
Filed under: Hevea brasiliensis (rubber tree)
Lineage: Eukaryota; Viridiplantae; Streptophyta; Magnoliopsida; Malpighiales; Euphorbiaceae
Source: RNAcentral
GUAAAUUACGCGCCACCUUCAUUGAAAAAGCCACUCCUUUUGGCGUCAUCCUCGCUCUUCUCUCCUCACACCACUUCGCGGCAGUCGCCACUUUCAUUCUCCAAACUUCUUCAUUUCCACUGUCGCCGGAGUUCAUUCCAUACAUUCGCCGCCAUGGCUGAAGCAAAAGACGCUGCCUUCUAUUCUCCGCCAGAGCACGACGUCGGGAGUUGGUACUCGGUGCCGGACCUUCGGCUUCGCGACCAUCGCUUCACUGUUCCCCUCGAUUACUCUGUUCAGCGCAGUGCUUCUCCCAAGAUCUCCAUUUUUGCUCGAGAAGUCGUGGCUGUUGGGAAAGAAGAACAACAACUGCCUUACCUAUUAUUUCUACAGGGUGGACCCGGCUUUGAGUGUCCACGGCCAACUGAGGCUAGUGGAUGGAUACAUAAAGCAUGCGAAGAAUUCCGUGUUGUUUUGAUGGAUCAGCGAGGAACAGGCUUAUCAACUCCUUUGACAUCAUCAUCUAUGUUACAACUGGGUUCUGCACAGAAGUUGGCUGAAUACUUGAAAUAUUUUCGAGCUGACAAUAUAGUGAAUGAUGCUGAAUUCAUCCGAGUUUGUCUGGUUCCUGAUGCUGGACCUUGGACAAUUUUGGGUCAGAGUUAUGGUGGCUUUUGUGCUGUAACGUAUUUGAGUUUUGCACCACAAGGACUGAAACAAGCCCUGAUAACUGGAGGAAUCCCUCCAGUAAGGAGUGGAUGCACUGCUGAUAUUGUCUAUAGAGCAUGCUAUGAACAGGUUAUUCGCCAGAAUGAAAAGUACUAUAAGAGGUUUCCUCAAGAUGCUGAAAUUGUUCGUGAAGUUGUGAUCCAUUUGGCGGAAUCUGAAGGAGGCGGGGUGCUUCUUCCAUCAGGGGGAAUAUUAACUCCAAGAGGACUUCAAAUUCUAGGUCUUUCUGGUUUAGGAUCCAGUUCAGGUUUUGAGCGUCUUCACUAUAUGUUUGAAAGGGUGUGGGAUCCCAUCAUAGUUCCGGGAUCAAGAAAGCAAAUUAGCGACUACUUUUUAAAAGCUUUUGAAAAUUGGUUGGAUUUUGAUUCAAACCCACUCUAUGCUAUCCUGCAUGAGCCCAUAUACUGUCAGGGUGAUUCAUCAAACUGGUCUGCUUACAGAAUUUUGGCUGAAGACAAUGGUAAAUUUGAUGCAAUCAGGGCUGCAAAAGAAGGCCGGCCGGUAUUUUUCACAGGGGAGAUGGUGUUCCCAUGGAUGUUUGAUGAAAUUCAUGCCUUGAAGCAGUUUAAAGAUGCUGCUGAGUUAUUGGCUGAGAAGAAAGAUUGGCCUCCCCUUUAUGACAUUGCUGUGCUGAAAAAUAACAAGGUACCUGUUGCAGCUGCUGUUUAUUAUGAAGAUCUGUAUGUUAAUUUCAAGCUGGCAAUGGAGACGGCUUCUCUGAUAGCGGGUAUUAGACUAUGGAUAACUAACGAAUAUAUGCAUUCUGGUCUGCGGGAUGCAGGGGGACGUGUUUUAGAUCAUUUGUUGGGAAUGUUAAAUGGAAAGAAGCCAUUGUUCUGAUAACCACUAUACUUUCUUAUAACAAUGGCUUCCUUUUCCCCUAGCCAGUACAUUUCCCAUGGUUAAAAAUUAAAAAUAAUGUACUUGUAUCGAUGGCUAAUGUGGAUUGUUUCAUAUCAGACUUCCUC